Molecule: ribosomal RNA, 253 nt
Filed under: uncultured bacterium
Lineage: Bacteria
Description: partial 16S ribosomal RNA
Rfam family: Bacterial small subunit ribosomal RNA
Source: RNAcentral
UACGUAGGGGGCAAGCGUUGUCCGGAUUUAUUGGGCGUAAAGAGCGUGUAGGCGGGUCUUUAAGUCAGGGGUGAAAUCCUGGAGCUCAACUCCAGAACUGCCUUUGAUACUGAAGAUCUUGAGUUCGGGAGAGGUGAGUGGAACUGCGAGUGUAGAGGUGAAAUUCGUAGAUAUUCGGAAGAACACCAGUGGCGAAGGCGGCUCACUGGCCCGGUACUGACGCUGAUGUGCGAAAGCGUGGGGAGCAAACAGG